Micropterus salmoides (largemouth bass) is the source of this 2992-nucleotide RNA transcript. RefSeq lists it as uncharacterized. Lineage: Eukaryota; Metazoa; Chordata; Actinopteri; Centrarchiformes; Centrarchidae. The record is from RefSeq and is a predicted model, not a curated record. The transcript has 3 exons.
CGAUGCCUUACUGAUGUAUAUCCUCUGUCUGCCUAUAUUGUUGCAGGAAAGCAAAUGGUGAUAUUGAAGCGCCACAUCUGUCUCCAACAUAACUCUUCUUAGAAAUGGAGCAAACUGUGAGAUUCCGGGUCCUCAUCGAUCAUGAAAUCAAGAAACUCACUCUCAGCAGUGGCAUGCCCUCAACUGUGAAUGAGUUGGUUGCAGCUGUCAAAGAACAUUUUUCCAUCCCCACAGAUAUAAGUCUUCAAUACAAAGAUGAGGAAUUUGAUGACUUCUUCACACUAACAUCUACCAAUGAGCUGAAAGAUAAGUGCACACUUAAAGUUGUGUAUACACCGCUGGAGUUGACGCUGACCGUUGUUCCCCAGGAAAGCACCCCAGAUGCCUCUGAUGUCAGCUUUCUCUGUGAGUGUACGAGUCUCAGUGGGAACUCAGUGGAUACCGUCAUUCCGAGUCCAUCCCCCUCUGAAAGGCAGAGCCCAUGGCUUGCUGUGUUUCCAAUUCCAACCUUCUCACACAACACUGAACUGGCCUUAAGACAAGGAAACGAGAUUUAUUUAAGAGAUGGCACCCCUAUGACAUCACCAAGUAUCAAAUCAGACAUCCUGGAGCGCCUGGCAGAGGCCAUGUUUUUCUACACAGCUUACCCCAAUGAUGCCCAGAGAUGUGCAGUGGCAGAGGCACUAGUUGCAAAGCAUCCCUGCUUAAAGGAGCCCGGAUCUUUUAAUGGAAUUUAUGGGUGGCAGGUAAGCCUAAAGUAUAAGUGUGGAAACUACCGGACAAAACGGAAAGCACUUGGAAGCACUGAACUCCUGAUAAACUCACUGAGAAACAAGUCAAGUGAUGAGCGAAAAGCUGCUAAAAAUGUCAAGAAACCAAAGAGGACAGAGGUGAAUUACUUGCCCUCACACCCACAUGGUGAAACAGAUGACACCCUUGAGAAUCUGAGACUUGACCUAAUUGCUGCCCAUCAGACAAAGGACUCUGUCAGGAGCACAAAUGAUAUGAUGGCCAGAACAUACAGCUGGAGAAGACAGGAAGUUAUUACCAAGUCUCCUGGUGUGGCAGAAUUCAAGGACCAUUCCAGGUAAGUGACUUAUCAUUCAGAUUUUGCUGACACUACUCACUUCUGAGAACUUUUUAGAAAUUGUGACUUGGACAUGAGAUAGUAGAUUAAUCUUUAAAACCCCUUAAAUAAGUCAAACAUUUGCUGUCUUACAGGUAAACGAGGAGUUCCGAAGAUGUACUGCAGUUUCCCUGGAAGCGACGUUUAUGUCACAGCUGGACAAAUGCACCCCAAAGCUCCUAGAACUCUUUAGUGCCAAGGGAGGAGCAACUGGUCAACGCAUCAAAAAGUUGUUGAUGGAUCUGAUACAGGACCCAAGUGCCACUACAGUGAAGAAGAGAGAUGUCACUCUGAGAUGCCUCUUUGAGUAUAUGGGAGAGAGUGGACAGGAGCUUAUCUCGGAUUACUGUGGGGCCGCAGAGACCAUUGUUCAUGAGGACCUGAAAAUUAAGAACAUGAGCAUCUAUGUCUGCCGUGAGCCAGAUGCAGUAGCAAUCAUCAUUGAGGGAAUACCAGUCCUUACCAAUCUUGGAAACGUGGCCAAAGCAUGCUGCUUCCUGGUUGGGUUGACAUAUGCACUUAAUCUCGAGUAUCCAUCCAAGCUUUCCAAAACAUUUGAGGUGUUUCAAAGACUUUUCGUGGGACUUGACACACUGCGCCCAAAACCAAGCCCCAAGUUCAUGACCCUGAAAAACAAACUCCUUGCCUAGGCACUCAGACAUGACUGUCACUGCACUUGUGAACAGCUGUUUUCUUUGUCUGUUCAACAUCAUUAUACAUUGGACAUAAUGGGUGUUAUGUCCAAUGUUAUAUUGGACAUAAUUGGACAUUCAGGGUGUUGUAAUGGUUUAUCCUUGUCAUGUUUUAUACUGUGCACAGGUCAUACUUCCUGGUGUGAAAAAGUAAUUAUAUUUUAUACACACAAAAUAGACCUGCUGUGAAGCUGCACUUUAAAAACUGGUCAGUAGGUGAGAUCAGUGAGAUGUUUGACUAAAGAUGUUUCAAAAUAUUCACACACGCUGUGAAGGUAUUAUGCCAAGUUGAGGUCAGAUGGUCAUGCUUGUGACCUGUAAUGUUAGUGUUUAAAAUGUUUCAAUAUUAUGUUCACACUGUACUGUUAAAAGGAUAGUUCACUUCAAAAUGAAAAUUCUGUCCUCAUUUACUCACCCUCAAGUUGUUUUAAACCUGUAUGAAUUUCUUUCCUCUACAGGACACAAGGAAGAUGUUUGAAGAAUGUCAGUAACCGAACAGUUAACUGGACCCAUUGACUUCCAUAUUAGAAAAAAAUAAAAAGACUAUGGAAGAACAUCCUUCAAAAUAUCUUCCUUGUGUUCAGCAGAAGAAAGAAAUUCAUACAGGUUUAAAACAACUUGAGGGUGAGUAAAUGACAGAAUUUUCAUUUUGAAGUGAACUAUCCUUUUACGGUGUUUUACUAACCUACUAUUUACAAGCUGAGGUCAUAUUUUGUUUAAUACAUGAAUACAGAAGUUCUUGAUUGUUUAUACUGUCCAGCUCAUUCCCACUAUUUGGAUAUGGCAUGUGAAUUGUUAAAAAAAUAGCAAGUGCCAGUUAACUUGAUAUUAAAAUGUUUUAAUAUUAUGUAUGUACACACAGUAAAAUAUACUUUGAAGGUGUUCUUCUAACCUGCACUUUAUAAGUUGAGGUCAUGCUUUUUUUAAUGCAUGAAUAGAUGUUAUUGAUUGUUAACACUAUCCAGCUCAUUUUGAAUUUGGUUUGUAAAUUGUUACUUAAUUUUAAAAUUUUGUAACAUUAUGUACACAGAACUACUGUGAAGGUGUUCCACUAACCUGCACUUUAUUUGCUGAGGGCAUGUUUUCUUGAAUGCCUGAAUACCAAUGUUUAUACUGUCCAGCUCAUUGCUACUGUUUUGGAUAUGGCAAUGAUUUAAUAAAUGUUGGAAAUUGA